Molecule: ribosomal RNA, 278 nt
Filed under: uncultured Lactobacillus sp.
Lineage: Bacteria; Bacillati; Bacillota; Bacilli; Lactobacillales; Lactobacillaceae
Description: partial 16S ribosomal RNA
Rfam family: Bacterial small subunit ribosomal RNA
Source: RNAcentral
UAGGGUAACGGGCCUACCAAGGCGAUGAUGCAUAGCCGAGUUGAGAGACUGAUCGGCCACAUUGGGACUGAGACACGGCCCAAACUCCUACGGGAGGCAGCAGUAGGGAAUCUCCACAAUGGACUAAGUCUGAUGGAGCAACGCCGCGUGAGUGAAGAAGGGUUUCGGCUCGUAAAGCUCUGUUGUUGGUGAAGAAGGACAGGGGUAGUAACUGACCUUUGUUUGACGGUAAUCAAUUAGAAAGUCACGGCUAACUACGUGCCAGCAGCCGCGGUAAU